AUGCCUCGUCUCGUUGUUAAAAACAACAUUACCGCCGGGGGAGCCCUGGCUGUCAGCCAAACUCUCCGGCUAGGAAAUUUCAUCAUGACCGCCAGUUCGGGUGCUGCACCGAUGAUGACUUCUCGGGUCAGCAAAAAUAGCCUCCACGUCGGCUCGGAAUUCGCCGAGCAGAUGGAUCCAAUGGAGCUCUCUUUCCUAAACGAGCUCUUGGAUCACAUCGCCGCCUUGGGAGUCGCUACGGACUACGAUCGGAUUGGGCUUAAACCCGAUCAAAGGGAGAUUAACUCUUCACCGAUCACCCAUCUUGUUGCGGUGGUGGAGGAACAAUGCAGCGAUUCUUCCUCUAUCUUGAGGACUAACUAUGUCCGGAUUCCUGAGCUCUCCGAGCCGGAUACCCGUUCAUGGGAGGACAUCACCCAAGCCCUGAACCUAGAGUCAGGCAGCAGGCCAGACUUAUCGGGCAACACUCCUGAAUCCGAACUUUCAAGAUUGGAAACUCCUCGGUCCCUGGGUCUCAGACCGAGUAGGGGUUCGGACUCAAAUCCACCCACCCACCCAGACAUAAACGAUCUUUCCCACAUCAGGCAAGAGCCCCAUGAAACAGUACAUCAUUACUGGGCCAGAUUCCUCCUUGUAAUGAACAAGGUUAAGGACUGCCGCGAGGAAGACACAGUCUCAUUUUUCUGCAAUAACUGCACGGACAAGGGAAUCCUAAACGCCAUAAGUCACUGUGACAUAUCACACUUCGCCGACUUGGCAUCCAUAGUACAAAAGUACUGUGCGAUGGAAAGUACCUGGAAAACCGAAACAAAAUUUUGA
RNAcentral lists this ribosomal RNA (819 nucleotides) under Triticum aestivum (bread wheat). RNAcentral's name for it is "partial small subunit ribosomal RNA". Lineage: Eukaryota; Viridiplantae; Streptophyta; Magnoliopsida; Poales; Poaceae. The record is from RNAcentral.